UGAGUAACCUGCCCUUAACUCUGGGAUAAGCCUGGGAAACUGGGUCUAAUACCGGAUAUGACUCCUCAUCGCAUGGUGGGGGGUGGAAAGCUUUAUUGUGGUUUUGGAUGGACUCGCGGCCUAUCAGCUUGUUGGUGAGGUAAUGGCUCACCAAGGCGACGACGGGUAGCCGGCUGAGAGGGUGACCGGCCACACUGGGACUGAGACACGGUCCAGACCUCCGUACGGGAGGCAG
Molecule: ribosomal RNA, 235 nt
Filed under: uncultured bacterium
Lineage: Bacteria
Description: partial 16S ribosomal RNA
Rfam family: Bacterial small subunit ribosomal RNA
Source: RNAcentral